AUUGAACGCUGGCGGCAUGCCUUACACAUGCAAGUCGAACGGUAACAGGUCUUCGGAUGAUGACGAGUGGCGCACGGGUGCGUAAUACAUCCGAACGUGCCCGAUCGUGGGGGAUAACGAGGCGAAAGCUUUGCUAAUACCGCAUACGCUCUACGGAUUAAAGCGGGGGAUCUUCGGACCUCGCGCGGACGGAGCGGCCGAUGGCAGAUUAUGUAGUGGGUGGGAUAAAAGCUUACCAAGCCGACGAUCUGUAGCUGGUCUGAGAGGAUGAUGAGCCAGACUGGGACUGAGACACGGCCCAGACUCUUACGGGAGGCAGCAGUGGGGAAUUUUGGGCGAUGGGCGAAAGCGUGAUCCAGCCAUGCCGCGUGCAGGAUGAAGGCCUUCGGGUGGGAAAAUGCUGAUGUACGGAAGGAAGAGCCUCUUUCUAAUAAGGAGGGGUCAUGACGGUACCGUAAGAAUAAGCACCGGCUAACUACGUG
RNAcentral lists this ribosomal RNA (482 nucleotides) under uncultured bacterium. Its description in RNAcentral is "partial 16S ribosomal RNA". It matches the Rfam family "Bacterial small subunit ribosomal RNA", at positions 30 to 507 of the family's 1533-position model. The record is from RNAcentral.